AUUUUGUGGAGUCCAGUUACCACGAUAAAAACGGGGCGUUAUCAGAAAAGCCUAAUGAGUAUGAAAACU
Molecule: regulatory RNA element, 69 nt
Organism: Polaribacter sp. SA4-12
Lineage: Bacteria; Pseudomonadati; Bacteroidota; Flavobacteriia; Flavobacteriales; Flavobacteriaceae
Rfam family: DUF805 RNA
Source: Rfam